UGGAACCUUCGGGGCAGGGUGAAAUUCCCAACCGGCGGUGAUGACAAGCGGCGUUAGCUGCUUGACUCAGUCCGUGACCCGUGCGGCGGCCAUGCGCCUUGUAUUAGGCAGGCAUCCGUUGCCGGUGGACUCGGUGAAAUUCCGAGACCGACAGUAUAGUCUGGAUGGGAGAAGGGGAAG
RNAcentral lists this non-coding RNA (180 nucleotides) under Paenibacillus naphthalenovorans. RNAcentral describes it as "FMN sequence". It matches the Rfam family "FMN riboswitch aptamer (RFN element)". From Rfam's summary of the family: The RFN element is a highly conserved domain that is found frequently in the 5'-untranslated regions of prokaryotic mRNAs that encode for flavin mononucleotide (FMN) biosynthesis and transport proteins. The record is from Rfam by way of RNAcentral. Lineage: Bacteria; Bacillati; Bacillota; Bacilli; Caryophanales; Paenibacillaceae.